This 738-nucleotide ribosomal RNA is filed under the name Bacillus subtilis. RNAcentral's name for it is "bacterial SSU rRNA". It matches the Rfam family "Bacterial small subunit ribosomal RNA", at positions 28 to 744 of the family's 1533-position model. Lineage: Bacteria; Bacillati; Bacillota; Bacilli; Caryophanales; Bacillaceae. The record is from RNAcentral.
CGUCGACGCUGGCGGCGUGCCUAAUACAUGCAUGUCGAGCGGACAGAUGGGAGCUUGCUCCCUGAUGUUAGCGGCGGACGGGUGAGUAACACGUGGGUAACCUGCCUGUAAGACUGGGAUAACUCCGGGAAACCGGGGCUAAUACCGGAUGGUUGUUUGAACCGCAUGGUUCAAACAUAAAAGGUGGCUUCGGCUACCACUUACAGAUGGACCCGCGGCGCAUUAGCUAGUUGGUGAGGUAACGGCUCACCAAGGCAACGAUGCGUAGCCGACCUGAGAGGGUGAUCGGCCACACUGGGACUGAGACACGGCCCAGACUCCUACGGGAGGCAGCAGUAGGGAAUCUUCCGCAAUGGACGAAAGUCUGACGGAGCAACGCCGCGUGAGUGAUGAAGGUUUUCGGAUCGUAAAGCUCUGUUGUUAGGGAAGAACAAGUACCGUUCGAAUAGGGCGGUACCUUGACGGUACCUAACCAGAAAGCCACGGCUAACUACGUGCCAGCAGCCGCGGUAAUACGUAGGUGGCAAGCGUUGUCCGGAAUUAUUGGGCGUAAAGGGCUCGCGGCGGUUUCUUAAGUCUGAUGUGAACGCCCCCGGCUCAACCGGGGGAGGGUCAUUGGAAAACUGGGGAAACUUGCGUGCAAGAAGAUGAAAGUGAAAUUUCCACGUGUAGCCGUUGAGAGGCGUAAAAAUCGUGAGAAACACCAUUGGCGAAUGCGACUUGUUGGUCUGAACUGAC